This 916-nucleotide ribosomal RNA is filed under the name Steinernema sp. 1 APM-2017. Its description in RNAcentral is "eukaryotic LSU rRNA". It matches the Rfam family "Eukaryotic large subunit ribosomal RNA", at positions 77 to 985 of the family's 3401-position model. The record is from RNAcentral. Lineage: Eukaryota; Metazoa; Nematoda; Chromadorea; Rhabditida; Steinernematidae.
UCCUUAGUAAACGGCGAGUGAAACGGAAAGAGCUCAGCGUCGAAACUGUGCUGGCUUUGCUGGCACCGUAUUGUGACGUAUAGAGGUGAUCAUGUGCGGUUUGCGGACUUUACGAAUUCUCUUUGACUAGGGAUCCAAAGCGGGUGCGAGACCCGUACGUAUUGUCUGCUUGUCGUACGCGUUUGCUUCUUGGAGUAGGGUUGUUUGAGAUCGCAGCCCAAAGUAGGUGGUAUACUUCAUCUAAAGCUAAAUACGACUACGAAUCCGAUAGCAAACAAGUACCGUGAGGGAAAGUUGCAAAGAACUUUGAAGAGAGAGUUCAAGAGGACGUGAAACCGAUAGGAUGGAAGCAGAUGAAGUUGACGAACAGGUGUCGUAUUCAGGGCUGUGCCUUGUGUGCAGUCUGUUUUUGCGACCGAUGUGGGCCGGCGGCUUUGGUCAAUGCACUGUGUCAAGCGGCGAUGGAGACCCUGCGGAGGGAUCAUCAGUCGUCGUACGAUGCGUGGUAUGGCUAAAGUUUCGCCGGUCUUGAAGUCAGCGCCUCAUCUGACCCGUCUUGAAACACGGACCAAGGAGUGUAUCGUUUACGCAAGUCUUAGAGUGUAUCAAAACUUUGAGGCGAAACGAAAGUGAAUACAGUUUAAUCUGUUGACUUGGGAUGCGUUGUCUCUUGUGGACGGCGCUGGACCAUGGUUAUAUCGCGAUCGCUUGCGAUGCGGUGUAAAUAGAGCGUAAACGGUGCGACCCGAAAGAUGGUGAACUAUGCCUGAGCAGGAUGAAGCCGGAGGAAACUCUGGUGGAAGUCCGAAGCGGUUCUGACGUGCAAAUCGAUCGUCUGACUUGGGUAUAGGGGCGAAAGACUAAUCGAACCAUCUAGUAGCUGGUUUCCUCCGAAGUUUCCCUCAGGGAUAGCUGA